CCAUCCAAUCCACCCAGAAUAAAUCCGGUAAGACAGCCAAUACGAAAUGCUCGAAAAACGGCCGCGCUUAAAGGAUGCCCUCAGCGUCGAGGAACAUGUGCUAGGGUGUAUGUGCGACUCGUUCAGAUCAUGACUUCAAACAAAUAUAAAAAACCAAUGACUCUCGCCAUAUGA
RNAcentral lists this ribosomal RNA (174 nucleotides) under Triticum aestivum (bread wheat). RNAcentral describes it as "partial small subunit ribosomal RNA". The record is from RNAcentral. Lineage: Eukaryota; Viridiplantae; Streptophyta; Magnoliopsida; Poales; Poaceae.